Molecule: transfer RNA, 73 nt
Filed under: Mustela putorius furo (domestic ferret)
Lineage: Eukaryota; Metazoa; Chordata; Mammalia; Carnivora; Mustelidae
Rfam family: tRNA
About the family: Transfer RNA (tRNA) molecules are approximately 80 nucleotides in length. Their secondary structure includes four short double-helical elements and three loops (D, anti-codon, and T loops).
Source: Rfam by way of RNAcentral
ACUUAGCUGGCUCAGUCAGUAGAGCAUGUGACUUUUGAUCUUGGGAUUGUGAGUGUAAGCCCCAUGUUGAGUG